RNAcentral lists this ribosomal RNA (425 nucleotides) under uncultured bacterium. Its description in RNAcentral is "partial 16S ribosomal RNA". It matches the Rfam family "Bacterial small subunit ribosomal RNA", at positions 354 to 796 of the family's 1533-position model. The record is from RNAcentral.
GUGGGGAAUAUUGGGCAAUGGGCGAAAGCCUGACCCAGCAACGCCGCGUGAAGGAAGAAGGUUUUCGGAUCGUAAACUUCUAUCCUUGGUGAAGAUAAUGACGGUAGCCAAGAAGGAAGCCACGGCUAACUACGUGCCAGCAGCCGCGGUAAUACGUAGGGGGCAAGCGUUGUCCGGAAUGAUUGGGCGUAAAGGGCGGGUAGGUGGCCUGGUAAGUCUGGAGUGAAAGUCCUGCUUUUAAGGUGGGAAUUGCUUUGGAUACUGUCGGGCUUGAGUUCAGGAGAGGUAAGUGGAAUUCCCGGUGUAGCGGUGAAAUGCGUAGAGAUCGUGAGGAACACCAGUGGCGAAGGCGACUUACUGGACUGUAACUGACGCUGAGGCGCGAAAGUGUGGGGAGCAAACAGGAUUAGAUACCCUUGUAGUCC